CGCCCCAAAACUCCAGUGCCCCCCCCGACUCCCAGUGCCCUUCCCAGUAACUCCCAGUGCCCCCCCCCACAACUCCCAGUACCUCCAGUCCUCCCAGUACAGCCCCUCCAGGUCCCAGUAAAACCCCUUGGUGGUGUCCAGCUGCUGCCCCUGCCCCCCUCCCAGUAACUCCCAGUAUAGCUGCACCACCUCCCAGUUCCCUCCCAGUACCCCCCCGGUUCUCACCCAGCACCCCCAGUCCCUCCCAGUACCCCCCAGUAACUCCCAGUGCCCCCCAGUCCUGCAGCACCACCUCCCAGUUCCCUCCCAGCACCUCCCAGUUCCCCUUCAGGACCCUGCAGCUCACUCCCAGUCCCUCCAGUCCCUCCCAGUUCCCUCCCAGUACCCCCAGUGCCUCCCAGUUCUCCCAGUUCCCUCCCAGUCCCCCCAGUGCCUCCCAGUUCUCCCAGUUCCCUCCCAGUCCCCCCAGUCCCUCCCAGUUCACUCCCAAUCCCCCCUGUCCCUCCCAGUUCUCCCAGUUCCCUCCCAGUCCCUCCCAGUUCUCCCAGUUCCCUCCCAGUGCUCCCAGUGCCCCCCCCAAUACCUCCCAGUAUCAUCCAGUUCCCUCCCAGUGCCCCCCCAGCCCCGCUGCAUCACAUCCCAGUCCCUCCCAGUGCUCCCAGUACCCCCCCCAAUACCUCCCAGUAUCGCCCAGUUCCCUCCCAGUGCUCCCAGUACCCCCCAAUACCUCCCAGUAUCGCCCAGUUCCCUCCCAGUGCCCCCCAGCACUCCUGCACCGCAUCCCAGCCUCUCCCAGUGCUCCCAGUAUACCCCCCAGCACUUCCCAGUAUCAUCCAGUUCCCUCCCAGUACCCGCCCAGUAACUCCCAGUGCCCCCCCAGCCCUGCUGCAUCGCAUCCCAGUCCCUCCCAGUGCUCCCAGUAUACCCCCCAGCACCUCCCACUAUCGUCCAGUUCCCUCCCAGUACCCCCCCCACUAACUCCCAGUGCCCCCCCAGCACUCUCGCACCGCAUCCCAGUCCCUCCCAGUGCUCCCAGUGCCCCCCCAGUNUCAUCAUCAUCAUCAUCAUCAUUGUCAUCGUCAUUGUCAUCGUCAUUGUCAUCGUCAUUGUCACCGUCAUCACCACCAAGCUCACUACCAUCAUCAUCGUCACCAUCAUCAUCGUCGCCAUCCCCAUUGUCGUCACCAUCAUCGUCACCAUCAUCAUCAUCACUCUCACCGUGGUCACCAUCGUCACCAUCAACCUCGUCACUGUCGUUAUCGUCACCAUCGCCAUCUUCAUCGUCAUCAUCAUCACUGUCACCAUCACCAUUGUCACCGUCAUCGUCGCCAUCAUUGUCACCAUUGCCACCAUCGUCACCAUCAUCACCAUCAACCUUGUCACCAUCACCAUCUUCAUCAUCGUCAUCAUCAUCACCAUCAUCGUCACUGUCAUCAUCAGUGUCACCACCAUCACCAUCACCAUCAUCGUCACCAUCUUCAUCCUCACCAUCACCACCAUCAUCAUCGUUGUCACCAUCGUCACCAUCGUCACCAUCGUCACCACCAGCCUCGUCGCUGCCGUCAUCGUCACCAUCUUCAUCACCAUCUUCACCAUCACUGUCACCAUCGCUGUCAACACCAUCGUCAUUGUCACCAUCAUCACCACCAACCUCGCCACUACCGUCAUUGUCACCAUCAUCGUCACUAUCAUUGUCACCAUCAUCACCGCCAUCUUCAUCAUCAUCGUCACCGCCGCUGUCCUUGUCAUCAUCAUCAUCACUGCCACCAUCGUCAUUGUCACCACUGUCACCAUCAUCGCCACCAACCUUGUCACUGCCAUCGUCACCAUCACCAUCAUCAUUGCCACCAUCGUCAUUGACACCAUCAUCGUCAUUGUCACCAUCAUCAUCACCAUCAUCACCAUCACCAACAUCAUCACCAUCACCACCAUCAUCACCAUCAUCACCUUCAUCAUUAUCAUUGUCAUUGUCACCGUCAUCACCACCAUCAUCACCAUCAUCACCAUCACCAUCAUCAUCACCAUUGUCACCAUCACCAUCAUCAUUGUUACCGUUGUCACCGUCAUCAUGGUCAUCACCAUCAACCUCGUCACUGUCAUUAUCACCACCAUCACCAUCUUUACUGUCAUCAUCGUCACUGUCAUCGUCGUCACCACUGCCAUCAUCAUCACCAUCAUCAUCACCAUCACCAUCAUCACCUUCAUCACCAUCACCAUCAUCACCAUCAUCAUCACCAUCAUCAUCACCACCAUCACCAUCUUCAUCACCAUCUUCAUCAUCACCAUCAUCACCAUCACCAUCUUCAUCAUCAUCACUGUCAUCAUCACUCCCAUCAUUGAUUGUCACUCUCAUCACCGCCAUCACCAUCACCAUUGUCACCAUCACCAUCAUCAUUGUUACCGUUGUCACCAUCAUCACCGUCAUCACCAUCAUCACCAUCAACCUUGUCACUGUCAUUAUCUCCACCAUCACCAUCUUCGUCAUCAUCACCAUCACCAUUGUCACCAUCGUCAUUGUCACCAUCGCUGUCAUCACCAUCACCAUUGCCACCAUCAUCACCACCAACCUUGUCACUACCAUCAUCGUCACCGUCACCGUCUUCAUCAUCACCAGCAUCAUCAUUGCCACCGUCAUCAUCAUCAUCACCAUCACCAUUAGUGUUGCCAUCACCAUCAUCAUCACCAUCAUCACCAACACCAUCAUCAUCACCAUCAUCACCAUCACCAUCACCAUCACCAUCAUCAUCAUCACCAUCAUCAUCACCAUCAUUGUCAUCACCAUCACCGUCUUCAUCAUCACCAUCAUCAUCAUCGCCAUCAACACCAUCACCAUCAUCACCAUCAACACCAUCACCAUCAUCACCAUCAACACCAUCACCAUCAUCACCAUCAUCAUCACCAUCAUUGUCAUCACCAUCACCAUCUUCAUUAUCAUCACCAUCACCAUCUUCAUCAUCAACAUCACCACCAUCAUCACCAUCACCAUCAUCAUCAUCACCAUCAAUGCCAUCAUCAACAUCACCAUCAUCAUCAUCACCAUCAUCACCACCAUCACCGUCAUCAUCACCCUAAUCACCAUCACCAUCAUCAUCAUCACCAUCAUCAUCAUAAUCACCAUCACUGUUAGUGUUGCCAUCAUCACCAUUGUCAUCACCAUCGUCAUCAUCACCACCACCACCAUCACCACCAUCAUCGGCAUCAUCAUCACCAUCACCACCAUCAUCAUCACCAUCAUCACCACCAUCACCGUCAUCAUUACGAUCAUCAUCACCAUCAUCACCGUUGUCACCGUCAUCAUCAUCACCAUCAUCACCAUCACCAUCACCAUCGUCACCAUCAUCACCACCACCAUCAUCAUCAUCAUCACCAUCUUCAUCACCANNNNNNNNNNNNNNNNNNNNNNNNNNNNNNNNNNNNNNNNNNNNNNNNNNNNNNNNNNNNNNNNNNNNNNNNNNNNNNNNNNNNNNNNNNNNNNNNNN
Molecule: long non-coding RNA, 3479 nt
Organism: Numida meleagris (helmeted guineafowl)
Lineage: Eukaryota; Metazoa; Chordata; Aves; Galliformes; Numididae
Source: Ensembl